AUACGGAGGGUGCAAGCGUUAUCCGGAUUUAUUGGGUUUAAAGGGUCCGUAGGCGGAUGUGUAAGUCAGUGGUGAAAUCUCGCAGCUUAACUGCGAAACUGCCAUUGAUACUGCAUGUCUUGAGUGAAUUUGAAGUGGCUGGAAUAAGUAGUGUAGCGGUGAAAUGCAUAGAUAUUACUUAGAACACCAAUUGCGAAGGCAGGUCACUAAGAUUUAACUGACGCUGAUGGACGAAAGCGUGGGGAGCGAACAGGAUUAGAUACCCUGGUAGUCCACGCCGUAAACGAUGCUAACUCGUUUUUGGAUAUUCGUAUUCAGAGACCAAGCGAAAGUGAUAAGUUAGCCACCUGGGGAGUACGUUCGCAAGAAUGAA
This 373-nucleotide ribosomal RNA is filed under the name uncultured bacterium. RNAcentral's name for it is "bacterial SSU rRNA". It matches the Rfam family "Bacterial small subunit ribosomal RNA", at positions 523 to 898 of the family's 1533-position model. The record is from RNAcentral.